AUUGAACGCUGGCGGCAGGCCUAACACAUGCAAGUCGAGCGGAUGAAGGGAGCUGGCUCCUGGAUUCAGCGGCGGACGGGUGAGUAAUGCCUAGGAAUCUGCCUGGUAGUGGGGGAUAACGUCCGGAAACGGGCGCUAAUACCGCAUACGUCCUGCGGGUGAAAGUGGGGGAUCUUCGGACCUCACGCUCUCAGAUGAGCCUAGGUCGGGUGAGCUAGUUGGCGGGGUAGAGGCCUACCAAGGCGACGAUCCUUAACUGGUCUGAGAGGAUGGUCAGUCAGACGAGAACUGAGACAGGGUCCAGACUCCUAGGGGAGGCAGCAGUGGGGAAUAUUGGACGAUGGGCGAAAGCCUGAUACAGCCAUGCCGCGUGUGUGAAGAAGGUCUUCGGAUUGUAGAGCACUUUAAGUUGGGGGGAAGGACAGUAAGUUAAUACCUUGCUGUUAUGACGUUACCAACAGAAUAAGCACCGGCUAACUUCGUG
RNAcentral lists this ribosomal RNA (484 nucleotides) under uncultured bacterium. Its description in RNAcentral is "partial 16S ribosomal RNA". It matches the Rfam family "Bacterial small subunit ribosomal RNA", at positions 30 to 507 of the family's 1533-position model. The record is from RNAcentral.